This 260-nucleotide ribosomal RNA is filed under the name uncultured bacterium. Its description in RNAcentral is "partial 16S ribosomal RNA". It matches the Rfam family "Bacterial small subunit ribosomal RNA", at positions 793 to 1055 of the family's 1533-position model. The record is from RNAcentral.
GUCCACGCAGUAAACGAUGAAUGCUAGAUGUCCGGGGAAUGACCUCUGGGUGUCACAGCGAAAGCGUUAAGCAUUCCACCUGGGGAGUACGCCGGCAACGGUGAAACUCAAAGGAAUUGACGGGGCCCGCACAAGCGGAGGAACAUGUGGUUUAAUUCGAUGAUACGCGAGGAACCUUACCCGGGCUCAAACGGCAGAGGGAUACUUUUGAAAGGAGGUAGCCCUACGGGGCCUCUGCCGAGGUGCUGCAUGGUUGUCGU